RNAcentral lists this long non-coding RNA (571 nucleotides) under Nicotiana tabacum (common tobacco). RNAcentral's name for it is "long non-coding RNA (NTAB_LNC014359)". The record is from RNAcentral. Lineage: Eukaryota; Viridiplantae; Streptophyta; Magnoliopsida; Solanales; Solanaceae.
AAAUUUAAGUCCAUUGUGAAACCCAUGUCUCACUAUAAACAACACAAACAACAAGACAAUAACAACAUAUUUAAGUCCAUUCUUCUGUCCACUGAAAAAUUAAAACAAUAUACAACAUAAAAUUUUGGUCUUUAAAAAGCAAAGAAAACUUACAAAUUUUCGAAGCUAGCAAUGAGUGUAUGUCUGUACGAGCACCAAUUCAUCAAUUGCAUAACCCAGUGACCAGUGUUGCUAAUAUAAUCUGCAUUUGUCCCAAAAUUUUAGUUUCGGUGUCAAGUAAAUAACAUAAACAAGUAAAUUUACUUUAUGACAAGUACCAAAAAUAAUUUUUUAUCACAAAAAUAUUGUAGUCACCGACUCUUUUCAGCAAAGUAAUACAAAAAAUUCAUUGAAUAUAUUUUAAUUUUUACAAAGCAUAAGCAAUAAGUAUGAGAAAACCCCAAUUCCUGUUUCCUCUAGCUUGAAUAAAAAAUUUAAAAUACCAAAUUUUGUUACCUUUUAUUUAUGUUCUGAUUUUGAAAUUACUGGGGAGAACAAGUGCCCUGCGUUUUCUUUCUAAGGAGAAGCCGAG